This 1166-nucleotide long non-coding RNA is filed under the name Homo sapiens (human). Its description in RNAcentral is "HSALNT0173324". The record is from RNAcentral. Lineage: Eukaryota; Metazoa; Chordata; Mammalia; Primates; Hominidae.
GGCUAGUAUCGCGAGAUCAGGAAGGUGGCCGAGUGUGUCGCCGCGGCCAUCAGGGGGGUUAUAGCCAUGUGACUGAUCUUCGUCCAAGAAUAUGUAAAGAAAAAGUGUUGAGUUGGCUUUUAGGGCUAGAGCAAUGUAUCUUAGGCUCACUUAAGGAAGCUGUAGAGAUGAGCCCAAGGAGGGAAACCAGAAGAGCCCCCCAGGCUCACCAGUUGUUUGUUGGCUCCCUACAAACAUGUCAUUCAAGUGGCUAAUCUUACAACAGCACAAAUUCAUCUAACCAGAGAUACUCUAUUAUAGCAAAGAAGAAAGAUAAUUUCAUUGAGCCAUCCUGUUUUACAGGAAAUUCUGCAAGUGGCAACGUGGGUCCAUUCCGUGUGUGUCACUAGAGCUGGCGCAAGCCCAUGGCCAUGGUGAGGCAGCGUUUCCACUGGAACUAAUCUGAUACCUGCACCAGCUCUUGCAACUGUGCAGUGUUCCCACUGCAAACUACGGAUGGGGUAAAAGACUGCUCACCUCCUAUUUCUCAUCUAAUCUCACACACUCUGUUUGAUGAGGCUAUGGAGAAACAGGUCUUCUCAUACACUAAAGGUGGGAGUACAAACAAUUCAAGCCCUGUGCAGGACAAUUAGGCAAUACCUAUCAAAAUUAUACAUGAUUUUUCCUGCUGACCCAGCAAUUCCACUUCUGGGAAUAAUUGACAGAUAUAGGUGCAUAUGUACAAAAUGAUGGAAAGCUCUCUGGUAUAUAUUAGUAAGUGAUAAAACAAGGUGUAAAAUAGUGUAUAUAUGGCUACUACCUUUUGUUUUAAAAAUGGGGGAAAAUGGUGGAGCUUGCGGUGAGCCGAGAUCGUGCCACUGCACUCCAGCCUGGGCGACAGAGCGAGACUCCGUCUCAAAAAAAAAACAGGGUGGGGUGGGGGGGAAAUAAUAGUACAUACUCAUAUUUACCUGUAUCUAUAUAAAACACACUAUCAAGGAUUCACAAGAAACUAAUACAAAUGAUCACCUUAUAGAUGGUAUGUAUUGGGGGAUACUGAGGUGAGCAGGGUAUAAGUGGGGCAAGACUUUUCAGUGUAAACUUCUUUUAAAUUUUAUUUUGAUUUUUGAAUAAUGUAAAUUAACUGUCAAAUAAUUAAAUUAAAAAUAACCAAUUUAUUAACAAAA